Molecule: ribosomal RNA, 468 nt
Filed under: uncultured bacterium
Lineage: Bacteria
Description: partial 16S ribosomal RNA
Rfam family: Bacterial small subunit ribosomal RNA
Source: RNAcentral
GACGAACGCUGGCGGCGUGCUUAACACAUGCAAGUCGAACGGAAAGGCCCUGCUUUUGUGGGGUGCUCGAGUGGCGAACGGGUGAGUAACACGUGAGUAACCUGCCCUUGACUUUGGGAUAACUUCAGGAAACUGGGGCUAAUACCGGAUAGGAGCUCCUGCUGCAUGGUGGGGGUUGGAAAGUUUCGGCGGUUGGGGAUGGACUCGCGGCUUAUCAGCUUGUUGGUGGGGUAGUGGCUUACCAAGGCUUUGACGGGUAGCCGGCCUGAGAGGGUGACCGGCGACAUUGGGACUGAGAGACGGCCCAGUCUCCUACGGGAGGCAGCAGUGGGGAAUAUUGCACAAUGGGCGGGAGCCUGAUGCAGCAACGCCGCGUGCGGGAUGACGGCCUUCGGGUUGUAAACCGCUUUCGCCUGUGACGAAGCGUGAGUGACGGUAAUGGGUAAAGAAGCACCGGCUAACUACGUG